AGAGUUUGAUCCUGGCUCAGAUUGAACGCUGGCGGCAGGCCUAAUACAUGCAAGUCGAACGGCAGCAGGGUGGAAGCUUGCUUUCACUGACUGGCGAGUGGCGGACGGAUGAGUAAGAUCUGGGAAACUGCCUGAUAGAGGGGGACAACAGCUGGAAACGGCUGCUGAUACCGCAUGAACCCUGAGGGGGAAAGGAGCAAUCCGCUAUCAGAUGUGCCCAGAUGGGAUUAGCUGGUAGGUGAGGCAAAGGCUCACCUAGGCGAUGAUCUCUAGCUGGUCUGAGAGGAUGAUCAGCCAUAUUGGGACUGAGACACGGCCCAGACUCCUACGGGAGGCAGCAGUAGGGAAUAUUGCACAAUGGGGGGAACCCUGAUGCAGCCAUGCCGCGUGUGUGAAGAAGGCCUUCGGGUUGUAAAGCACUUUCAGUGGGGAGAAGAGAGAUGUUACCCACAGAAGAAGCACCGGCUAAAUACGUGCCAGCAGCCGCGGUAAUACGUAUGGUGCAAGCGUUAUCCGGAUUUACUGGGUGUAAAGGGAGCGUAGACGGAUGUGCAAGUCUGGAGUGAAAGCCCGGGGCUCAACCCCGGGACUGCUUUGGAAACUGUAUAUCUUGAGUGCUGGAGAGGUAAGUGGAAUUCCUAGUGUAGCGGUGAAAUGCGUAGAUAUUAGGAGGAACACCAG
RNAcentral lists this ribosomal RNA (681 nucleotides) under uncultured bacterium. RNAcentral describes it as "bacterial SSU rRNA". It matches the Rfam family "Bacterial small subunit ribosomal RNA", at positions 8 to 712 of the family's 1533-position model. The record is from RNAcentral.